Molecule: ribosomal RNA, 494 nt
Filed under: uncultured bacterium
Lineage: Bacteria
Description: partial 16S ribosomal RNA
Rfam family: Bacterial small subunit ribosomal RNA
Source: RNAcentral
GACGAACGCUGGCGGCGCGCUUAACACAUGCAAGUCGAACGGAAAGGCCUGCUUUCCCUUGUGGAUUGCGGGUACUCGAGUGGCGAACGGGUGAGUAACACGUGAGUGAUCUGCCCCCAACUUGGGUAUAAGCCUGGGAAACUGGGUCUAAUUCCCGAUAGGACUGCAGGGUGGUGCCUGUGGUGGAAAACGAUUUUCUAGUGGUUGGGGAUGAGCUCGCGGCCUAUCAGCUUGUUGGUGGGGUAAUGGCCUACCAAGGCGGCGACGGGUAGCCGGCCUGAGAGGGUGGACGGCCACAUUGGGACUGAGAUACGGCCCAGACUCCUACGGGAGGCAGCAGUGGGGAAUAUUGCACAAUGGGCGGAAGCCUGAUGCAGCGACGCCGCGUGGGGGAUGACGGCCUUCGGGUUGUAAACUCCUUUCGACCGCGAGGAAGCCACCUGGUUGGAAGGGUGGUGGCGGUAGUGGUAGAAGAAGCACCGGCUAACUACGUG